RNAcentral lists this ribosomal RNA (216 nucleotides) under Glomeromycotina sp. RNAcentral's name for it is "partial small subunit ribosomal RNA". The stretch from base 40 to 216 matches the Rfam family "Eukaryotic small subunit ribosomal RNA", at positions 686 to 864 of the family's 1831-position model. The record is from RNAcentral. Lineage: Eukaryota; Fungi; Glomeromycota.
GGGUCAGUAGGUUGGUCGUGCCACCGGUACGUACUGGUCUCACUGAUUCCUCCUUCCUGAAGAACCGUAAUGCCGUUAAUUUGGUGUUGCGGGGAAACAGGACUGUUACUUUGAAAAAAUUAGAGUGUUUAAAGCAAGCUAACGCUUGAAUACACUAGCAUGGAAUAAUGAAAUAGGACGAUCGAUCCUAUUUUGUUGGUUUCUAGGAUUGACGUA